RNAcentral lists this ribosomal RNA (467 nucleotides) under uncultured Smithella sp. Its description in RNAcentral is "bacterial SSU rRNA". It matches the Rfam family "Bacterial small subunit ribosomal RNA", at positions 916 to 1381 of the family's 1533-position model. Lineage: Bacteria; Pseudomonadati; Thermodesulfobacteriota; Syntrophia; Syntrophales; Smithellaceae. The record is from RNAcentral.
ACGGGGCCCGCACAAGCGGUGGAGCAUGUGGUUUAAUUCGACGCAACGCGAAGAACCUUACCAGGGCUUGACAUCCCCUGACCGCGUAUGAAAGUACGUUUCACCCUCGGGUGACAGGGAGACAGGUGGUGCAUGGUUGUCGUCAGCUCGUGUCGUGAGAUGUUGGGUUAAGUCCCGCAACGAGCGCAACCCUUAUCUUUAAUUGCCAGCAUUCAGUUGGGCACUUUAAAGAGACUGCCGGUGUUAAACCGGAGGAAGGUGGGAUGACGUCAAGUCCUCAUGGCCUUUAUGCUUAGGGCUACACACGUGCUACAAUGGGUGGUACAAAGAGAAGCCAACUCGCGAGAGCGCGCCAAUCUCAAAAAGCCAUCCUCAGUUCGGAUUGGAGUCUGCAACUCGACUCCAUGAAGUUGGAAUCGCUAGUAAUCGCGGAUCAGCAUGCCGCGGUGAAUACGUUCCCGGGCCUU